RNAcentral lists this ribosomal RNA (450 nucleotides) under uncultured bacterium. Its description in RNAcentral is "partial 16S ribosomal RNA". It matches the Rfam family "Bacterial small subunit ribosomal RNA", at positions 354 to 796 of the family's 1533-position model. The record is from RNAcentral.
GUGGGGAAUAUUGGACAAUGGGCGAAAGCCUGAUCCAGCCAUGCCGCGUGUGUGAAGAAGGUCUUCGGAUUGGAAAGCACUUUAAGUUGGGAGGAAGGGUAGUGACCUAAUACGUUGCUACUUUGACGUUACCGACAGAAUAAGCACCGGCUAACUUCGUGCCAGCAGCCGCGGUAAUACGAAGGGUGCAAGCGUUAAUCGGAAUUACUGGGCGUAAAGCGCGCGUAGGUGGUUCAGUAAGUUGGAAGUGAAAUCCCCGGGCUCAAACUGGGAACUGCUUUCAAAACUGCUGAGCUAGAGUACGGUAGAGGGUGGUGGAAUUUCCUGUGUAGCGGUGAAAUGCGUAGAUAUAGGAAGGAACACCAGUGGCGAAGGCGACCACCUGGACUGAUACUGACACUGAGGUGCGAAAGCGUGGGGAGCAAACAGGAUUAGAAACCCCUGUAGUCC